RNAcentral lists this ribosomal RNA (468 nucleotides) under uncultured bacterium. RNAcentral describes it as "partial 16S ribosomal RNA". It matches the Rfam family "Bacterial small subunit ribosomal RNA", at positions 28 to 507 of the family's 1533-position model. The record is from RNAcentral.
GACGAACGCUGGCGGCGUGCUUAACACAUGCAAGUCGAACGGAAAGGCCCUGCUUUUGUGUGGUGCUCGAGUGGCGAACGGGUGAGUAACACGUGAGUAACCUGCCCUUGGCUUUGGGAUAACUUCAGGCAACUGGGGCUAAUACCGGAUAGGAGAUCCUGCUGCUUGGUGGGGGUUGGAAAGUUUCGGCGGUUGGGGGUGGACUCGCGGCUUAUUAGCUUGUUGGUGGGGUAGUGGCUUACCAAGGCUUUGACGGGUAGCCCGCAUGAGAGGGUGACCGGGCACAAGGGGCCUGAGAUACGCCGCAGACUCCUACGGGAGGCAGCAGUGGGGAGUAUGACACAAUGGGGGGAAGCCUGAGGCAACAGUGCCGCGAGCGGGAUGAAGGCUUACGGGUGGUAAACCGCUUUCGCCUGAGACGAAGCGGGAGUGACGGUAAUGGGUAAAGAAGCACCGGCUAACUACGUG